UAGGGAAUCUUCCGCAAUGGACGCAAGUCUGACGGAGCAACGCCGCGUGAGUGAAGAAGGAUUUCGGUUCGUAAAACUCUGUUGUUAGAGAAGAACAGCGCAUAGAGUAACUGUUAUGCGUGUGACGGUAUCUAACCAGAAAGCCACGGCUAACUACGUGCCAGCAGCCGCGGUAAUACGUAGGUGGCAAGCGUUGUCCGGAUUUAUUGGGCGUAAAGCGAGCGCAGGCGGUCAAUUAAGUCUGAUGUGAAAGCCCCCGGCCCAACCGGGGAGGGUCAUUGGAAACUGGUUGACUUAAGUGCAGAAGAGGAGAGUGGAAUUCCAUGUGUAGCGGUGAAAUGCGUCGUUAUAUGGAGGAACACCAGUGGGGAAGGCGACUCUCUGGUCUGUAACUGACGCUGAGGCUCGAAAGCGUGGGUAGCAAACAGG
RNAcentral lists this ribosomal RNA (429 nucleotides) under Bacteroidota bacterium. RNAcentral describes it as "Bacteroidetes bacterium partial 16S ribosomal RNA". It matches the Rfam family "Bacterial small subunit ribosomal RNA", at positions 355 to 776 of the family's 1533-position model. The record is from RNAcentral. Lineage: Bacteria; Pseudomonadati; Bacteroidota.